CUUAAAGGGAGGCAUUCAAGUUCAGCUUCUAAGUAGGUGCCUAGGUGGUGCCUCAAGGAUUGAAGUAAAUUGUUACUAGAUGGCAGUGCAGGUUCUUUAAAAAAUGGCUAAAGACAUCUAGUGGACUAAUUUUCAAUUACCCUAUAUUUUUGUCACCCAUCAUUGCGAUACCAUAGAAGUGUGUGAUUCCGUAUAAAACGUGAUCAGUGUAUGUCAUUUCUAUUACUUUUUUGCGUUCCAAAGGAUAAUUCAACUAUAAUUUUAUGUUAGUUCUGUUAACAGCUAAGCAAGCUACUGAACCACAUAAUUGUGAGCCACCCUCUUGCUUCACUUUCCAUCAUGCUAUUGCACACUGAGAGAAUUCACAUUCUACCCACCGCUGUCCUAUUACCAUGAUUCUUUUUUACUAUACAGCACAGGAGAUGCUGACAACAGAGUAUGGUGAUGUGUGUUAUCUGACAUGUGCAGAAUAUUCAUCUCUGUUGGUUUGAUCAUCACCUUGUGCCUCUCAUCCCACUAAGCAAGCUAGCAUGCAUUGGCUUUAACACCAUUAUCCCAUUUGAACUACAGCUCUCAUCUUCCUUCUCUGCAAAAUUGCCAUCUCAACAAAUUAUUCAGUUUCAACCCAAUUGGAUCACAAGCAACUACCCUAUUUUCCUCUUCACACCGGUACAAAAUCCACCAUCAGAACUACGGCCUUGCUGUCUUCUUCCUUCGCCUUCACCUCAUCGCUGUCUUCCACUACGCUUUCGCCUUUGGGUCAUCGCUGUCUUCGUCUACGCCUUCUCCUUUGCGUCAUCGUUGUCUUCGUAUCGUCCACCGUCCUCGUAUCGUCCGCCGUCCUCGAUCCAGCAAUUAAAGAACGCCAGGGAUUAGCAACACAGAAAAGAUAGCCAAAAAGCAGACAGUUCAGCAGACAGCCCGCGGUGAUGGAGGAAGUUCACCGUGGUUCGUCGCCCUGGUAUUGUUUUGUUUUGCAUUUUAGUGUAUAAGUUAACCCGUUGGCUGCCACCCCGUUUGCGUCCCAUUUUUUUUGUAGCUUAUAGGGACCGGGCGCUGUUCUGCCCCAUGCAUGGGGGGAACAGUCGCCGCGCCUAAAGGCUCUGAGCCUUUAGGCGCCAUAGGCAAUGCACCAGUAGGGACUCUCUUUGUCGGUGCGGUGAUAAGAUUCCUGGGGUGUGCAUUCCCGGAAUGGUUUCUAUCAUCGUACCAACCCGGACUUGUCUUAGGACAAGUCCCACCUUGUUCGCGAUCCUUCUGACGUGAUGCGUAGCAACUGUAGUUACAGCAACCUACGGGUUGCGUGGCCUGGCAGCCAACGGGUUAACUUAGUGUAAAUGUUUGUUUAUUUGUGUAUGUAAUUUUGUGUAUGUGAAGUAUUAUGUAAAAUAGUGGUGGAAUUGAUGGGUGGAGGAGGGACAAUAAAAAAAUUCCUGUAUAA
This 1441-nucleotide unclassified non-coding RNA is filed under the name Daphnia magna. RNAcentral's name for it is "uncharacterized LOC116926906, transcript variant X4". The record is from RNAcentral. Lineage: Eukaryota; Metazoa; Arthropoda; Branchiopoda; Diplostraca; Daphniidae.